AGAGAGAGACAUGCGCGCAUAUCAAUAAGCGGAGGAAAAGAAACUAACUAGGAUUCCCUCAGUAACGGCGAGUGAAGCGGGAAGAGCUCAAAUUUGAAAUCUUCAAGGUUCUACCUUGACGAAUUGUAGUUUAAAGAAGUGUUUUCUGUUGGAGUUUUGGUAAAAGUUCUUUGGAAUAGGACAUCAUAGAGGGUGAGAAUCCCGUAUUUGACCAUUAUUUCCAGCUUUGUGAUACACUUUCAAAGAGUCGGAUUGUUUGGGAAUGCAGUCCAAAAUGGGUGGUAAAUUUCAUCUAAAGCUAAAUAUUGGCGAGAGACCGAUAGCGAACAAGUACCGUGAGGGAAAGAUGAAAAGAACCUUGAAAAGAGAGUUAAACAGUACGUGAAAUUGUCAAAAGGGAAGCGUUUGACACCAGUGUUGUUUUCUCGAAAAUCAAUUAAAAAAGGCAGGAUUUUGUGUUGUAUUGACUUUAUCAGCUUUCUGCACUCUUUUCUUGUCUUUUUUAAUGCACUUUUCGUUUAACAAGUCAACAUCAAUUUCUUUUGUUGUAAAAGGGUCAUUGGAAGGUGGCUUUCUUUUCGGAGAAAGUGUUUAUAGCCUUUGGCCUCUGCAAUCGGAGAGAUUGAGGUCUGCAGCGUAGAUCCUUCGGGGUUAGAUACAUUUGUGCUAAGUUAUAGCCUUUCAUAGACAACUUGUUGACUAUGAUCAGUCAUGUAGCUUACUCGCUUAUGCUAUUUUACCUACGCUUAGGAUGUUGAUGUGAUACUGCGAGCA
Molecule: ribosomal RNA, 774 nt
Filed under: uncultured Neocallimastigales
Lineage: Eukaryota; Fungi; Neocallimastigomycota; Neocallimastigomycetes; Neocallimastigales
Description: partial large subunit ribosomal RNA
Rfam family: Eukaryotic large subunit ribosomal RNA
Source: RNAcentral